RNAcentral lists this ribosomal RNA (409 nucleotides) under uncultured bacterium. RNAcentral's name for it is "bacterial SSU rRNA". It matches the Rfam family "Bacterial small subunit ribosomal RNA", at positions 355 to 761 of the family's 1533-position model. The record is from RNAcentral.
UAAGGAAUAUUGGUCAAUGGACGCAAGUCUGAACCAGCCAUGCCGCGUGGAGGAUUAAGGCCCUCUGGGUUGUAAACUCCUUUUAUCUGGGAAGAAAUGUACUUUUUCUUGAGUACUUGACGGUACCAGAGGAAUAAGCACCGGCUAACUCCGUGCCAGCAGCCGCGGUAAUACGGAGGGUGCAAGCGUUAUCCGGAUUCACUGGGUUUAAAGGGUGCGUAGGUGGGCAGGUAAGUCAGUGGUGAAAUCUCCGGGCUUAACCCGGAAACUGCCGUUGAUACUAUUUGUCUUGAAUAUUGUGGAGGUAAGCGGAAUAUGUCAUGUAGCGGUGAAAUGCUUAGAUAUGACAUAGAACACCAAUUGCGAAGGCAGCUUACUACACAAUCAUUGACGCUGAGGCACGAAAGCG